GGUCCGCUGGCUCAAUGGCAGAGCAUCUGACUACGAGUGGUGAUCGGAAGGGUUCAAGAAUCCUUGAUUAAACAAGUUAUCAGGAGGCUCCAGGUUCGACCCCUAGGUGGAUCG
Immersiella caudata is the source of this 114-nucleotide non-coding RNA. Lineage: Eukaryota; Fungi; Ascomycota; Sordariomycetes; Sordariales; Lasiosphaeriaceae. The record is from the annotation of a GenBank genome assembly.